UUCGAUUGUGCCAGCAGCCGCGGUAAUACGGAGGGGGCCAGCGUUGUUCGGAAUUACUGGGCGUAAAGCGCGCGUAGGCGGAUUGGAAAGUUGGGGGUGAAAUCCCGGGGCUCAACCUCGGAACUGCCUUCAAAACUCCCAGUCUUGAGUUCGAGAGAGGUGAGUGGAAUUCCGAGUGUAGAGGUGAAAUUCGUAGAUAUUCGGAGGAACACCAGUGGCGAAGGCGACUUCCUGGCCCGAUACUGACACUGAGGCGCGAAAGCGUGGGGAGCGAACAGGAUUAGAUAUCCCUGGUAGUCCACGCAGUAAACGAUGAGAACUAGAUGUUAGGGUGCUAGUCACCUUAGUAUCGCAGCUAACGCAAUAAGUUCUCCGCCUGGGGAGUACGGUCGCAAGAUAAAACUCAAGAAU
Molecule: ribosomal RNA, 411 nt
Filed under: uncultured bacterium
Lineage: Bacteria
Description: bacterial SSU rRNA
Rfam family: Bacterial small subunit ribosomal RNA
Source: RNAcentral